CCUACGGGAGGCAGCAGUGAGGAAUAUUGGUCAAUGGGCGGAAGCCUGAACCAGCCAAGUCGCGUGAGGGAAUAAGGCCCUACGGGUCGUAAACCUCUUUUGCCGGGGAGCAAGGGCGGGGCCGUGUCCCGGCCCGGAGAGUACUCGGAGAAGAAGCAUCGGCUCACUCCGUGCCAGCAGCCGCGGUAAUACGGAGGAUGCGAGCCUUAUCCGGAUUUAUUGGGUUUAAAGGGUGUGUAGGCGGGCUUUUAACUCCGGUGUAAAGAUUCGGGUAUCAACCCCGUACGGCCGUUGAAACUGGGGGCCCUGAGUGGGCGAGAAGAAGGCGGAAUGCGUGGUGUAGCGGUGAAAUGCAUAGAUAUCACGCAGAACCCCGAUUGCGAAGGCAGCCUUCCGGCGCCCUACUGACGCUGAGGCACGAAAGUGCGGGGAUCGAACAGGAUUAGAUACCCCAGUAGUC
RNAcentral lists this ribosomal RNA (460 nucleotides) under uncultured bacterium. Its description in RNAcentral is "partial 16S ribosomal RNA". It matches the Rfam family "Bacterial small subunit ribosomal RNA", at positions 338 to 795 of the family's 1533-position model. The record is from RNAcentral.